UGGGGAAUUUUGGACAAUGGGCGAAAGCCUGAUCCAGCAAUGCCGCGUGUGUGAAGAAGGCCUUCGGGUUGUAAAGCACUUUUGUCCGGAAAGAAAACGCCGUGGUUAAUACCCGUGGCGGAUGACGGUACCGGAAGAAUAAGCACCGGCUAACUACGUGCCAGCAGCCGCGGUAAUACGUAGGGUGCAAGCGUUAAUCGGAAUUACUGGGCGUAAAGCGUGCGCAGGCGGUCCGCUAAGACAGAUGUGAAAUCCCCGGGCUUAACCUGGGAACUGCAUUUGUGACUGGCGGGCUAGAGUAUGGCAGAAGGGGGUAGAAUUCCACGUGUAGCAGUGAAAUGCGUAGAGAUGUGGAGGAAUACCGAUGGCGAAGGCAGCCCCCUGGGCCAAUACUGACGCUCAUGCACGAAAGCGUGGGGAGCAAACAGG
Molecule: ribosomal RNA, 429 nt
Filed under: bacterium
Lineage: Bacteria
Description: partial 16S ribosomal RNA
Rfam family: Bacterial small subunit ribosomal RNA
Source: RNAcentral